AUUGAACGCUGGCGGCAUGCUUUACACAUGCAAGUCGAACGGUAGAGGGGGCAACCCCUUGAGAGUGGCGAACGGGUGAGUAAUGCAUCGGAACGUGCCCAGUCGUGGGGGAUAACGCAGCGAAAGCUGUGCUAAUACCGCAUACGAUCUCUGGAUGAAAGCGGGGGACCGAAAGGCCUCGCGCGAUUGGAGCGGCCGAUGUCAGAUUAGGUAGUUGGUGGGGUAAAGGCCUACCAAGCCAACGAUCUGUAGCUGGUCUGAGAGGACGACCAGCCACACGGGGACUGAGACACGGCCCACACUCCUACGGGAGGCAGCAGUGGGGAAUUUUGGACAAUGGGCGCAAGCCUGGUCCAGCAAUGCCGCGUGCAGGAAGAAGGCCUUCGGGUUGUAAACUGCUUUUGUACGGAACGAAACGGUCUGGGUUAAUACCCUGGGCUAAUGACGGUACCGUAAGAAUAAGCACCGGCUAACUACGUGCCAGCAGCCGCGGUAA
This 496-nucleotide ribosomal RNA is filed under the name uncultured bacterium. RNAcentral describes it as "partial 16S ribosomal RNA". It matches the Rfam family "Bacterial small subunit ribosomal RNA", at positions 29 to 523 of the family's 1533-position model. The record is from RNAcentral.